AGGACGAACGCUGGCGGCGUGCCUAACACAUGCAAGUCGAACGAGGUCCAACCGGUGGCAACACUGGUGAAGACCUAGUGGCGAACGGGUGAGUAUCACGUGAGUAACCUGCCCCGAAGACUGGGAUAACACCGGGAAACCGGUGCUAAUACCGGAUGUCCCCACCGAAUCGCAUGGUUUGGUGAGGAAAUGGAUUCCGCUUUGGGAGGGACUCGCGGCCUAUCAGCUUGUUGGUGGUGUAACGGACCACCAAGGCUUCGACGGGUAGCUGGUCUGAGAGGACGAUCAGCCACACUGGGACUGAGACACGGCCCAGACUCCUACGGGAGGCAGCAGUGGGGAAUCUUGCGCAAUGGGCGAAAGCCUGACGCAGCAACGCCGCGUGAGGGACGAAGGCCUUCUGGGUUGUAAACCUCUUUCAGCAGGGACGAUGAUGACGGUACCUGCAGAAGAAGCCCGGCAACUACGUGCCAGCAGCCGCGGU
RNAcentral lists this ribosomal RNA (484 nucleotides) under uncultured bacterium. RNAcentral's name for it is "SSU rRNA". It matches the Rfam family "Bacterial small subunit ribosomal RNA", at positions 26 to 521 of the family's 1533-position model. The record is from RNAcentral.